GUGGCCCCAAGUCAGGCGAGGCCCACCCGCCGAA
This 34-nucleotide ribosomal RNA is filed under the name Amomum purpureorubrum. RNAcentral describes it as "partial 26S ribosomal RNA". The record is from RNAcentral. RNAcentral also lists the same sequence under 2 other names. Lineage: Eukaryota; Viridiplantae; Streptophyta; Magnoliopsida; Zingiberales; Zingiberaceae.